Long non-coding RNA from Halichondria panicea, 1268 nucleotides. RefSeq lists it as uncharacterized. The transcript has 6 exons. The record is from RefSeq and is a predicted model, not a curated record. Lineage: Eukaryota; Metazoa; Porifera; Demospongiae; Suberitida; Halichondriidae.
CAGGUUUUAAACUUUCAUUGUAGCAGCUUCAUAUUGAGGAUUUGACAAGUUCUUUAGUGCAACUACUGAUACAGUGCAAGUGAGUGGACGGAUCGAAGAGUUUUAACUGGAAGAUCGGCGACUGACUGCGGCUACUGAUACAGUCUAUAGACACAGUACAACUACUGAUACAGUGCAAGUGAGUGGACGGAUCGAAGAGUUUUAACUGGAAGAUCGGCGACUGACUGUGGCUACUGAUACAGUCUAUAGAUACAGUACAACUACUGAUACAGUGCAAGUGAGUGGACGGAUCGAAGAGUUUUAACUGGAAGAUCGGCGACUGACUGUGGCUACUGAUACAGUCUAUAGAUACAGUACAACUACUGAUACAGUGCAAGUGAGUGGACGGAUCGAAGAGUUUUAACUGGAAGAUCGGCGACUGACUGCGGCUACUGAUACAGUCUAUAGACACAGUACAAAUCAACCAACAUUAGCAUGGCAAAAAAAAGACCACGGGAAGUUACUGACUUCGAUGACAUUGGUAAUGAUCCAAUCCCAAGUGCAACUAUUCGAUGUGUAUUAACUUCCUUAUCACCAAUCAAGAAAGGCCGAAAGAGCAAAUAUUUUGAUGGAAAUGCAAGUGAUGGUAAGCAGACAUGUCGAUUGUUAUCAUUUUCGGAAAGACAGCUGGAUAUUUUGAAGAAGUUCAAGGGUGCCAAAGAGACUGUGGAGAUCAGGGACUGUCAGGUAAAGAGAGCAAUGAGGGGAGACAGAAUGGAAAUUGUAUUGAAGUCCAGCAGUGAAAUUGCACACAGCUCAAAACAACUCGACACUACAAACAUUGACUUUGAUGAUGGUGUUGUCCCAGAAAUAUUAAUUGCAGCAUUAGAAGAUAGAUGUGUUUUUGAUGUAGUGACGAUCCGUGUAAAGGUCCAUCAAGUUUGCCAAAGAGAGUUUCUUGACGGUGGUUACAUCAAGCAAGAUGUCAGCGUUUCAGAUGGCAGUGGUGUUGGACGGGUCACAGUGUGGGGAGAUUUCGUUGGAACAGUGUUUGUAGGAGAGUGCUAUUUGUUUUCCGGAUUUAUGGUUAAAGAAUUUAGUGGCAACAAAUAUCUGAGUAUGCGUAAGAACGGAUCAACGAUUGAGAAGGUGGAUGACAUUGGGCAAGUAAUGAAGUUGGAUACAGACAAUAUCACUACAGAUGGACAGAUAAUGAAUGCUACUGUUGUUUGCGUGAUGGAGUUCCUAUCGAAGAAGGUUUGUAUUUUGUGCAAUGGUUAUGGUGUAUU